RNAcentral lists this unclassified non-coding RNA (271 nucleotides) under Hevea brasiliensis (rubber tree). Lineage: Eukaryota; Viridiplantae; Streptophyta; Magnoliopsida; Malpighiales; Euphorbiaceae. The record is from RNAcentral.
GGCAAGACUAAUCCACAACUAUUGGCCAUUGUAGCUACUUGAAAGCAAAAAUUGGAGGAAAUCGUAAAAUUCCAUACCCCAAAUAUUUUCACCGGUGGUUGUUUGUUGGUGUUGGCCUUCACUAGGCCACAGCCUUUGCUUGUGGCUGCAAUUUUUUAUUCCAGUUUUCGUGGGGCCUAAAAGGCAACCCCACCAAACUUCCAUAAAUCGUACGACCAAUCUCCACUUCCAACUUCUACCUCUCUUCAGCUUUGAGCUGUUAUAAGGGCAA